Molecule: ribosomal RNA, 468 nt
Filed under: uncultured bacterium
Lineage: Bacteria
Description: partial 16S ribosomal RNA
Rfam family: Bacterial small subunit ribosomal RNA
Source: RNAcentral
GACGAACGCUGGCGGCGUGCUUAACACAUGCAAGUCGAACGGAAAGGCCCUGCUUUUGUGGGGUGCUCGAGUGGCGAACGCGUGAGUAACACGUGAGUAACCUGCCCUUGUUUUUGGGAUAACUUCAGGAAACUGGGGCUACUACAGUAUAGGAUCUCCUGUUGCAUGGUGGGGGUUGGAACGUUUCGGCGGUCGGGGAUGGAUGGGCGGGUUAUGAGCUAGUUGGUGGGGUAGUGGCUUACCCAGUCUGUGACUGGUACGCGACACGAGAGGGUGACCGGCGUCAUGACGACUAAGAGACGGCCCAGUCGGCAAUGGGAGGCAGCAGUGGGGAGUAUGGCACAACGGGCGGGAGCGGGAGACAGAGGCCCUCCGUGCGGGAAGACGGCCUUUGGGGUGAGAACCGCUGUCGCCUGUGACGAAGCGGGAGUGACGGUACUGGGUGAAGAAGCACCGGCUAACUACGUG